Molecule: long non-coding RNA, 579 nt
Filed under: Ananas comosus (pineapple)
Lineage: Eukaryota; Viridiplantae; Streptophyta; Magnoliopsida; Poales; Bromeliaceae
Description: long non-coding RNA (ACOM_LNC037843)
Source: RNAcentral
GUUCAAUGUUUUAUUUAUUUAGAUUUUUAUAAACAUGUUGAAUUGAAAAUAUAUUUUGAAUUAUUUAUUAAUUUAUAUAUGAUGUUUGGUGAUAGUUUCACUACAACAGAAUUAGAUUAUAGGAACACAUGUUUGAAACACUUUUGUGUAAGUGUUCCAUUUAUAUCAAAAUUUUAAAAAAUAUCUACUAAUUCAUAAAUAUAAAGCCCAAUCCAAUAAAAAAAAAAAAGUUCCUCUUCUUCCCUUACUCAAUCCACUGAAAAUCUAGACGAAGAGCCCUUCCCUCUCGUAAUCUUCCGCCACCGCAGCCAACGAGGAAGAAAGUAUUGGUAAAUUAGCAGUACUAUUUUUAGGUUAGCGACACUGUUUAAUUGUCACUAUAUACCUAGCGACCCCACAUAUAGCAACACUUUUUAAAAAUGUCGGUAAUUUAGCCAGCGACACUUUUUUUGACAUGUACUGAUAUUUAAAAGUGUCGCUAUAGGCCAUUUUUGUUGUAGUGAAAUUUGCAUUAUAAAAUAUAAGAAAUUUUUAUAAAAAUAACUGAUGAAUAUUGCGAUAUAUUUGAUUGAUCAACGA